AACCUGUUAACCAUGUGAUGGAGAGGAGCUUUCUUGAUUGACUGGGAAGCCAAAUUUGAAUGAAUCCAAAAGGCAUUAACCAGUCAAAAUGAAUCUCUUGACCUGGUUCUUUUUCUUUUCAGCUGGAGUUGAAGAAGGAUGAGCUUCUGGAUGGAGGACAAAUGACCCUGCCAUUGCUUCCAUCUCUUUUGUGACAAUUCUUUCCUGUUUAUUUGUUUAAGUGAAAGAGACUUAGGAAAGUGGUGCUCCGAGCUCUAUAUCCAAGGCUUGACUCCCUUUCCUCGAAAUCCUGGUGACAUAAGGACCACACACGGGACUGACAUGGAUCUGGGAUCUGGGAAAAUUACCUUGUUAGAAGUACGGAAAAUGACAAGAGACUUGGUUCUGGGAGAACAACGAGGAUAUUACUUACCGCAAUAGCCCAGGCCAAAGAAACCACUUUCAAAGGGAUCGACUGAUUCUGACCAUAGCUGAAGCAUUACUAAAUGGUUACAGAAAACAUCUUGGAUUUCUUUCUAUGUGAUGCUGAUUUUGUGAGUCAGACCAAAAAACGGUAGCUGAUAAUUUUGGAAAAUUCAACAAAA
RNAcentral lists this long non-coding RNA (584 nucleotides) under Monodelphis domestica (gray short-tailed opossum). RNAcentral's name for it is "lncRNA (ENSMODG00000035953.2)". Lineage: Eukaryota; Metazoa; Chordata; Mammalia; Didelphimorphia; Didelphidae. The record is from RNAcentral.